This 363-nucleotide ribosomal RNA is filed under the name uncultured eukaryote. RNAcentral describes it as "SSU rRNA". It matches the Rfam family "Eukaryotic small subunit ribosomal RNA", at positions 567 to 937 of the family's 1831-position model. The record is from RNAcentral.
CCAGCAGCCGCGGUAAUUCCAGCUCCAAUAGCGUAUAUUAAAGUUGUUGCAGUUAAAAAGCUCGUAGUUGAAUUUCGGAGGAGAGUUCCCGGUCUAGGUUUUCCUUGUACUGGGACACUCGAAUCUUUUUUCUGGGGAAACUUGGUGUCAUUAACUUGGCGGCAAGGGGAACCAGGACGAUUACCUUGAGAAAAAUAGAGUGUUCAAAGCAGGCUUUUGCUUGAAUACGUUAGCAUGGAAUAAUAAAAUAGGACUUUGGUCUUAUUUUGUUGGUUUUAAGGACCAAUGUCAUGAUGAAUAGGGACAGUUGGGGGCAUUCGUAUUCCGAAGCUAGAGGUGAAAUUCUUGGAUUUUCGGAAGACG